This 88-nucleotide non-coding RNA is filed under the name Oxobacter pfennigii. RNAcentral describes it as "c-di-GMP sequence". It matches the Rfam family "c-di-GMP-I riboswitch aptamer". From Rfam's summary of the family: GEMM was predicted in a large-scale screen for bacterial structured RNA regulatory elements. The record is from Rfam by way of RNAcentral. Lineage: Bacteria; Bacillati; Bacillota; Clostridia; Eubacteriales; Clostridiaceae.
CAAAUGAAGGGGCAAAUUCAUUGAAAAAUGAAGACGCAAAGCCACAAGUCUAAAGCAUGAAAAAUGCCAUGAUGGUUGGGUUGCCAAG